Molecule: long non-coding RNA, 317 nt
Filed under: Physcomitrium patens
Lineage: Eukaryota; Viridiplantae; Streptophyta; Bryopsida; Funariales; Funariaceae
Description: long non-coding RNA (PPAT_LNC013611)
Source: RNAcentral
AUACUCAUCUCCAUCGCUUUCUUUAUGAUAAUCUUUGCUUGGAUGUACUGGUAUUUAUUGUAGUGAGAUUUGCUCUUUGUGUUUUGUAUGAAGAGUUUAUUCAUAUGCUUGUUGAUCCAUGGCCAUGCAGAGUUGGACUAGUGUCACUCUAUUAUUGAAGAAGGACCUUUGAUUGUCCACUCCCUCGUUGCCUUUGGAAGCAAAUGCUACUAUUUGUGCCACUUUUUGCUACACUGUUGUUUGUUCCUCUCAUACUAUCUCAUUUAGUGGUGCAAUACUAUUCGUAUUGGAAUACUCAUUUACAUUUUCAAUUUGUU